ACACUCCUGCGGGAGGCAGCAGUGGGGAAUUUUGGACAAUGGGCGAAAGCCUGAUCCAGCAAUGCCGCGUGAGUGAAGAAGGCCUUCGGGUUGUAAAGCUCUUUUGUCAGGGAAGAAACGGUGAGAGCUAAUAUCUUUUGCUAAUGACGGUACCUGAAGAAUAAGCACCGGCUAACUACGUGCCAGCAGCCGCGGUAAUACGUAGGGUGCAAGCGUUAAUCGGAAUUACUGGGCGUAAAGCGUGCGCAGGCGGUUUUGUAAGUCUGAUGUGAAAUCCCCGGGCUCAACCUGGGAAUUGCAUUGGAGACUGCAAGGCUAGAAUCUGGCAGAGGGGGGUAGAAUUCCACGUGUAGCAGUGAAAUGCGUAGAUAUGUGGAGGAACACCGAUGGCGAAGGCAGCCCCCUGGGUCAAGAUUGACGCUCAUGCACGAAAGCGUGGGGAGCAAACAGGAUUAGAAACCCGAGUAGUCCCAU
This 474-nucleotide ribosomal RNA is filed under the name uncultured organism. Its description in RNAcentral is "partial 16S ribosomal RNA". It matches the Rfam family "Bacterial small subunit ribosomal RNA", at positions 333 to 798 of the family's 1533-position model. The record is from RNAcentral.